RNAcentral lists this non-coding RNA (188 nucleotides) under Deltaproteobacteria bacterium. The record is from RNAcentral. Lineage: Bacteria; Pseudomonadati; Myxococcota; Myxococcia.
UCACGGAAGUUCCCUUCGGGCGCCCGGACAGGGUAACGGGAAGAUGGUGCGAAUCCAUCGCUGCCCCGCAACUGUGACCGGCGACGAAAUCCGCAACGAGGCCACUGGGGAGAAAGACCCCCCGGGAAGGCGCGGAGAGUAGGCUCGCAGCCGGAAGCCAGGAGACCGGCCCGACAGGGAGUUUUCCC